Molecule: long non-coding RNA, 29203 nt
Filed under: Gossypium raimondii (Peruvian cotton)
Lineage: Eukaryota; Viridiplantae; Streptophyta; Magnoliopsida; Malvales; Malvaceae
Description: long non-coding RNA (GRAI_LNC007442)
Rfam family: Plant small nucleolar RNA R71 (bases 25361-25467)
Source: RNAcentral
GUUGUUAUUAUCUAGUUGAUGCUGGAUACACAAAUUAUGAGGGAUUUCUUGCACCUUUUAGAGGACAAUGAUAUCAUUUGAAUGAGUGGCGUCAGGGUUAUCAGCCAAGUACUCCGCAAUAAUUUUUUAAUAUGAAACAUGCCUCAGCACGUAAUGUUAUUGAAAGAUGCUUUGGGUUAUUAAAACUUAGAUGGGGAAUACUUAGGAGUCCAUCAUUCUAUCCUGUAAGGGUGCACAAUAGAAUCAUUAUUGCAUGUUGUUUGCUCCAUAAUUUUAUUCGAACCUAUAUGAGUAUUGAUCCUAUUGAAGCGGAGGUGGGAGAAGGAUUACCUAGUAAUGUGGGAGAUGAUGAUAAACCGAAUAUCGUAAAUAUUCAUCUAUCAGAUGCAUGGGCUACUUGGAGGAUGGAACUAGCCAACCAAAUGUUCGAUGAAUGGCAAGCAUCUAGAAAUUAGUUAGGUUUAGGGACGAAAUGAGUUUGAGUUAAUUUGUUUAUGUUAUUUUAUGUAUCUAGUUUGUGAAACUUUGGUGGUGUUUGAAUUGUUUUUUGUAUUGUACUAAACUUGUUGAAUUAUAAUUUAAUUUCUUUUCAUUCAUCAUGUGUUAUAAUUUUAUACAGUGUUGAGUUUUUGAUUCAUGAUAUUUAACUUAAUUUUAAUUUUAUAGAGUGUUCACCUUUUGAUUCAUGAUAUUAAACUUAAUUUUAAUUUGUUUUUUUUCUUAAGAUAAUUAUGUCAGGUGUUUCAGAAUCAAAUGUUUCUUCCCAAGCUUCUCGAGGAACCAAAAGGAAAUGGGUUCCAUAAGAAGAUGCAGCAUUGGUUUCCUGCAUGGUGGACUUGCACAAUGUUGGAACCUUUAAUGCUGAUACGGGGUUCAAAGCCGGUUAUUUAAACGAGUUGGAAAAAUUGUUAGAAAAGGCUUUACCCAAUGCAAUGUUGAAGGCUAGACCUAAUAUUGAAUCGAGGAUUCGGUUACUAAAAAGGGAGUGGUCAAUCGUGUAUGACAUGCUUAAUGGCCAAAAAAAUAGCGGUUUUGGUUGGGAUGAGCAUAGGUAGCUCAUUGUUGCUGAAGAUGCGGUUUGGAACUCUUAUUUAAAUGUAAGAAUUAUUUCAAGUCUUUAUUAUCUUAUUUUUACCAAACUUAUAACUAAUAUGAUUUCCUCAUUUUUAUAGAGUCAUAAAGAAGCCGGUCAAUUCAGACAUCGUAGUUUCCCUUACUACGGCCAACUUACUGCCAUAUACGCAAGAGAUCGAGCGACUGGAAAAGAUGCUCAAACAGCCGAUUAUGUUAUUGAAGAAAUAAAUGUUCAGUGUGUACCUACUACAGAUAUUAAUGAAGAAAGAAACGAAUUCUAUGACUGCGAAACUGAUGUCUCUUUGGGUGACAUGGAUGUUUCUACAAUGGAACCGCAACCAGAUAGAAACCAAGGGGGUUCCACAUCUUCAAAGAAGAACAAAAAGAAUUCUGAUGCAAGUGAUCAUUUUUCUUCUUCAUUUCAUGAUGCUACCACUUUAUUGGCGGAAAACAUGUGGACUAUUGGCAAACAAAUCAGUAGGAGUAUUGCCUCUGAUGUGGUAGUUCAACAAAAGUCAAAAGAAUUCCAGAUCAUCCAAGAAAAAGCAACAAAUUUAUAUCCAACCUUGUGUGAAAUAGAAGGUUUAACUGUGGAUGAGCGCUAUCGAGCAUUGAGCAAAAUUCUAGAUCAUCCAACUCAAAUGCUCGUUUUCUUUAGUUUACCUUCUGAUGUGCGGUUGGAAUGGGUCAGAAGAUUUCUUGCUGACCAUUAAAAAUCAUGGUUCUGUUGAUGAUAUUUUCGUAACUUUUUCUGUUUGUAAUAUUUGGGAUGGUAUGUCAUUACAAUGUUCUAACUUUUUGAUGUUUUAAAAUUGUAUAACAUAUGGAUUAUGACAUAGAAUUUCAUGAAUUUCAUGUAACCUUUUGUUAAUAUAUGAAUAUUAUGUUCAUGCAAAAUAUAAUUCUCAAGUUAUUUAUUACUGCUAAUAUUUUUUUAUUGUAGAAUAAUUAAAUUAUUUGUUUCACUAAUGAUAUUUUAGCACAUUAAAAUAUGUAUUGCAGUUUAAAAAUAAUAAAGUAGAUUAUACAUUAUUUUUAUAGUAUUAUAUAUUAUGAUUUUAGUAAAUUCAUAUAAGAAUAAUUAUAGUAGAUUGAAUUUUAUUAAAUUAUAUAUUUUUAUUAAAUUAUAUUUAAUAAUAAUUAUGUUAAAUUAUAUUUUAUAGCAUUAUAUAUUAUGAUUUUAGUAAAUUCAUAUGAGAAUAUUUAAUAUUAAGAAUUUUAUUAAAUUAUAUUUAAUAAUAAUUAUGUUAAAUUAUAUAUUAUUGUAUUAUAUAUUAUGAUUUUAGUAAAUUCAUAUAAGAAUAUUUAAUAUUAAGAAUUUUAUUAAAUUAUAUUUUUAUUAAAUUAUAUUUAAUAAUAAUAAUGUUAAAUUAUAUUUUAUAGCAUUAUAUAUUAUGAUUUUCGUAAAUUCAUAUAAGAAUAUUUAAUAUUAAGAAUUUUAUUAAAUUAUAUUUAAUAAUAAUUAUGAUAAAUUAUAUUUUAUAGCAUUAUAUAUUAUGAUUUUUGUAAAUUCAUAUGAGAAUAUUUAAUAUUAAGAAUUUUAUUAAAUUAUAUUUAAUAAUAAUUAUGUUAAAUUAUAUUUUAUAGUAUUAUAUAUUAUGAUUAUCGUAAAUUCAUAUAAGAAUAUUUAAUAUUAAGAAUUUUAUUAAAUUAUAUUUAAUAAUAAUUAUGUUAAAAUAUGAUUAAAUUAUUUAUUAUUUAUAUUAAUAAUCUUAUUAAAAUUUAAUAACAAUAACAAUAAUCAUCUACCUAAAAAAAAUUUUGCUAAGGGUAUUCUAGUCAUUUUAGUUUUUUCCUUAUACUAUUACAACAUCAUUCCAUUCAACCAAACAAUUGAAUUACUAUUACGCCUCUAUUCCAUUACACCUCUAUUCCAUUACAACGAACCUUGAAUUUUGUGAAAUAAAUGGGCUACUAUUGUUAUAUAUAAAAAUCAGUUAGGCUUUAAAUAAAGAUUAAAUUGUAUAAAUUUCAUUUUUCGAGCCUAGAGAUAAAAUCAUAAUUAAUCAAAAGUAUAGGGGCAAAAUGGUAAUUUUUCCUAAAAUGCGAAUUGGAUGGAAUUGAAUGCGAAUUGUAUUAAAUUGAGUUAAAUUUACUUGUAUAGAUCCAGACAGACCUAGUUCGGAAUUGGAUCAAGGAAAACGAAAAGUAUCAAAAUAGUAGCCUACGAACACGAACAUUGUCGAGGUAAGUUCGUGUAAUUAAAUUUGUACAAUUAUACGCUCAAAUUGAAUGUUGUGUAUGAGAAUUAUGUGUCAUGCAUAUGAAAUUGGUCACAUAUCCGACAAUGGGCGACAAGUAUUAAAUCCCGUUUGAAUAAAUGAAAUUUGAUUGGAUAUAAGGUUCUCGUAUUGGUUGUGGUCCUGCAUAUGUUGUGGACAGACCACAGCUCGAAAGAGCAUCUCAUUAUUAGCUCUCAUGAGCUUCCCAAUAUAUGGUUCUUGCGAGCUUUCCAUUAAUAGCUCUUCGGAGCAUCCCGAUUGGUUGUGAUCCUGCAUGUGUUGUGGACACACCGUAGCUCUUAUGAGCGUCCCGAUAAAUGGCUCUUCGUGAGCUUCCCGUUUAAGGGCUCUUCGUGAGCUUCCCUUUUAAGGGCUCUUCAUGAGCUUCCCGUUUAAUUGGCUCUCCAUAGCUUCCCGUUAAUGGCUUUCUGGAGCUUCUUGUUACAUGGCUCACAUGAGUUUCCCAUUUAUGUGCUCGAAUUAGCAGUCCUGAAUACGAAUUUGCGGAUUGCAAUUUGUACACUUCUUGAUAUUGGCUCGUAUAAGCUUCCCGUUAAUGGCUCUCUGGAGUUUCCUGUUACAUGACUCACAUGAGUUUCCCAUUUAUGUGCCCGAAUGAGCACGCCCGUGUAUCCAUCAGUAGUUUAAAUGAUUCAACGGGUAAAGUUCUGAUAUGAGACAAUAUGAAAUUGAAAUGGACUAUACUAGUAUAUACCCGAAAUUUAUGGAAUUUAUAUAUGAAUACAAGAUGUGGAAAGUUUAUGAACAUCAAAAUUUGAUAUGUGAUGAGCAAAUCAUGUGUUAAGUUAUUAGCCAAUUUACUUUGGAUGCAUAUUUUGUGUUUACUUGAAAUGUAAAUGCAUGGUAAGUAAUUUUCCGUUAUACGAACUUACUAAGCAUUAAAUGCUUACUUGGUUUUAUUUCCUCUAUUUUAUAGUACUCAGAAGCUCGUAAAGGUUGGAAGCGGGUCAGAGCUACAUCACACUAUCUCUCGGACUUUUUGGUAUAUGUAAGAAACUAAAUUUUGGUUAUAAUAGCCUGUAUAGGGUAAUUUGGCCAACAUUAGCAUAUAUGUGUUUUAAUUGUAACUAGCCAUCAGAAUGGCUAGUGAUGGUAUGUUUUGAUAUAUAUAUAUAUGAGGAUAUAUCACAUUUGAUAUGAGUGUGCUUGGUAUGGUUGUAUUGGAUUUGGUAAAUUAGAUAUAAACAUGCAUAAAUGUGCAUUUGAUUAAUUUGGUAAGUUUAUGUGUUUGGACAAAUAGGUAAGUUUGUAUACUUGAACAGAUGUGAUGAUAUAUUAUGCAUAAGACUUGGUUUUGGCUUGAAUUAAAUGAUUGGUAUUGGCUUCAGAAUGUGUUAAAGUGUUGUUGUAGGUAGAAGACAAGUUGGGUGAGAAAAGUGGCCUUGUAAAUGGCCUAUUUUCGUCCACACAGGCGUGUGUCUCAGCCGUGUGUGACACAUGGCCAUGUGCAUAGGCGUUUGUCUCAGCCGUGUGUCCCCUACAUUUUUAAAACUACAAAACAGAAUACUCAAUUAUUUUCACACGGAUAGAGACACGGGCGUGUGUCUUAGCUGUGUGUGACACACAGCCUAGCACACGGGCGUGUCUCUUGGUCAUUUGAACCCUGCACCUAAUUAAUGCAAGUCAGUAUUCUCACACGGCCUAGCACACGGGCAUGUCGUUUGGCUGUGUGACCCAAGUCAGUAAGCACCCUAAAUUAGACACGGGCUGGGACACGGUUGUGUGUCUCACAACGAAUGCCCACAUGGCCUAAGACACGGGUGUGUCUCUUGGCCGUGUGAGCCACACGGCCUGCCCACACGAGCGUGUGUCCCCCGCACCUAAGGAAAAUUUGAAAUUUCGCAAAAAAUUCUCCGAGUUCUCGAUUUAGUCCCGACUUAUUUUUAUUGUAUAAAUUGGGGCCCAUAUAAGGAAAUUUAUGAUUGAUUUCUAAUAUGAAUAGUAAAUUUUAUGAAUUAAUUGUAUUUGAUCUAUAAACUCCAGUAAUGCUCUGUAACCUUGUUCUGGCGACGGAUAUGGGUUAGGGGUGUUACACAUUCUAAUAGAGACAGAGAUACCAGACACUCCGGUCCUAAACCUCAGGCUACAUCUGUAGCGAGUAUGGGUAGUGUUAGAAACACUAGACCCGAGUGCAAGCAUUGUAAAAGGCCACAGUAUAGUGAGUAUCGAAUGAAAAGUGGAGCGUGUUUUAGAUGUGGUUCCUUUGACAACUAUCUUAGAGAUUGCCCUGAGAAAUUCGAGAAAGAGAAAGUUCAGACUUCAGGACUGAGCAACACAGCUGCGAGAGGUAGACCACCUCAUAAUCCCAAAAAUGUGAGUGAUAGUCGUGGUGUGACAAAAGACUCUACUGUAAGAUCCGAGGCCCGAGCACCAGCUAGGGCUUAUGCUAUUCGCGCACGCAAGGAUUCUUCUGCGCUAGAUGUUAUUACCGGUAGUUUCUCUCUCUAUGAUAUUGAUGUAACUGCUUUGAUUGAUCCCGGAUUGACCUAUUCUUAUGUGUGCACAAAUUUAGUGUCUAGUAAGAAUUUACUUGUUGAGUCCACUGAAUUCGUGGUUAAAGUAUCGAACCCCCUAGGUCAAUAUCUACUAGUUAAUAAAGUUUGGAAGAAUUGUCCUUUGAUGACUCGGGGUAACAGUUUUCUGGAUGAUUUGAUGCUAUUACCGUUUGAUGAAUUCGAUGUGAUUUUGGGCAUGGAUUGGCUAACUCUGGAUGAUGCUAUGGUAAAUUGUAGACGAAAGCUUAUCAUAUUAAAAUGUUAUAACGGUGAGACGCUUCGUAUUGAAUCAGAUAAUUCGAGUUGGUCGUCUAUUGUGAUAUCAGCUAUAUCAGCGCAGAAAUAUGUGAGAAAAGGUUGCAAUGCUUACCUAGCAUAUGUACUGGAUACUAAAGUGUCAGAAUCGAAGCUUGAAUCAAUGUCAGUGGUUUGUGAGUAUCUCGAUGUGUUUCCAGAGGAGUUACCUGGAUUACCACCGGUCAGAGAAGUCAAAUUUUCUAUAGAACUUGUACUGAGAACAUCACUGAUACUGAUAGCACCUUAUAGAAUGGCUCCUACAGAGUUAAAAGAGUUGACAGAUAGGGGUUUUGCUCGACCCAGUUUUUCACCUUGGGGUGCACUGGUUCUAUUCGUUAAGAAAAAGGGCAGAUCAAUGAGAUUGUGUAUUGAUUAUUGUCAACUCAAAAAGGUUACAAUCAAGAACAAAUAUCCAUUGCCUUGAAUUGAAAAUUUGUUUGAUUAGUUGAAAGGAGCCACAGUAUUCUCAAAGAUUGAUCUCUAUUCCAGUUACUAUCAGCUACGAGUGAAAGAUUCAGAUGUGCCAAAAACUACAUUUAGAAUCAGGUACGGGCACUAUGAAUUUCUUGUGAUGUCGUUUGGUUGAACUAAUGCACCUGCAGUAUUUAUGAAUUUGAUGAACAAAAUCUGAUAUGAACUUGAUUAUGAUACGUAAUUGAGUCAUUGAAUGCCCGAUCAAUAAAUUAAGUAGUUUUUGUUUCGGUUUAACAAAAGGCUAUGUAAAAGGAAGAAGAUAGUUAAGACUACUAAUGGUAAUAAAGAUAUAAUGAUGGAAAGAUGGUAUAAUGAACUUAAAACAAGAAUGAACCCAUAAUAGAGAUUAAGGACCCGAUUCUUAUAAGUUUUAAGGUGGUUGAUGGAUAGCUAGAUAGGAUCGUGACCUACUAUCUAGCAAGAUAGGAACCAAACGGUAUAAGGAUCAACGCCACACUCAGAAAGUGAUAAGUUCAAGAAAGAAACAAGUUUGACGCCACUAGCUAACUAGAUAAGUCAAAUUGAAUCUAGAAGAACAAUGAGAGUGAACAACUCACAAAGUCUAUUAUAUUUCAUACAAUAUCAAAGUCAAGUAAGUAAGUAGGAAACCUCAAAAGGUUUACAAAGAAGCUAUUUAUAGGCUCUUAGGUAUCCAGCCGAAUAGCCACAAUUGAAUGCAAAUACAUGAAACUAAAUUGACUUAAUUUCCAGCUAAAAAAUCCAUUAAAUUGGCUUCAAUAAUCAGCUGUCCUUUGAGAUGCCCAAACAGUCUUAAGAAUGUGCUAUUUGGUGUGCAUGAAUAGCCUUUGAUAGGAAAUUUAAUGAUUGAGCUGAAAUGAGCUUUGUUCGGUUAAUGAAGUUAUGGCUGGAGUUAAUGUUUGAAGGUGCACCGAAUGAGAAAUCAGGUGGUGAGUGUAUUUGAUGGCAGCCGAAUGGCCCUUGGCUGUGAACACUCGAUUUUGGAGAGUCUUUAAGUGUGAACAUUAAGCACCAAAUGGUCUCUUGAAGUGUUAGCUGAUCAACUCACAAUUGUUGGCUAUGGAUUCAUGAACAAUCAGUUGAGUGAAUGCACCAAGCAACUCUUAAGAUACAUGCACAGUCGGGUGCAUGUUCUUCAUUAAAUUAGCUUCAUUGAAUCUAGAAAAUACAUGAAUGUCUAGCUGCAAACAACUCCCAAUGUACAUGCACAACCGGGUGCAUGCUCCACAUUAAUUAGCUUCAAUAAAUAGACAUUGUGCAUGAAUGUCCAGCUGCAUGCUUUAAUAACCUACUAAGACAAAUUAAACACUUGAUUGAACAGCAACACUGCAAAUUAAACACACAAAUAAAUAUGUAAUAGACUAAGACACAUUUAAGAAAUUUGACUUGCUAACAUGCAUUAAGUCUGUCUGAAUUUGAACAUUCUUAAUGGACAAACGUAUCUGAAGUCAGAAGUUUUCUUGGAUUAGCUGGCUACUACCGAAGAUUCGUCAAAAGGUUCUCAACGAUAGCUACACCGAUGACACAGUUAUUACAGAAAGAUGUGAAGUUUGAAUAGUCUGAUAAAUGUCAGCAAAGUUUUAACUAGUUGAAACAGUUGAAAGCACUGUUGACCGAAGCACCGGUUCUAGUUCAGCUUGAAUCGGGUAAAGAAUUCGUGAUUUUUAGUGAUGCAUCUUUAAAUAGUUUAGGCUGUGUCUUAAUGCAAUAAGGCAAAGUGAUAGCUUAUGCUUCCAGACAGUUAAAGCCGUACGAAAAGAACUAUUGACUCAUGAUUUAGAGUUAGCAGCUAUCGUGUUUGCAUUGAAAAUUUGGCAGCACCAUUUAUUCGAUGAAAAAUGUCACAUAUUUACCGAUUAUAAAAGUUUAAAUUAUUUAAUGUCGCAGAAAGAUCUAAAUCUGAGACAACGUAGAUGGCUCAAACUGUUGAAAGAUUAUGAGUUGAUCAUUGAUUAUCACCCAGGUAAAGCAAAUGUAGUUGCUAAUGCUUUGAGUAGAAAGUCCUUGUUUGCUCUGCGAAUGAUGAAUACCCUACUGUCAUUAACUAAUGAUGGCUCAGUCUUAGCCGAGUUAAAAGCUAAACUGAUGUUUUUAUGGCAGAUCUGCAAAGCUCAGAAAUGUGAUAUGGUUUGUUAGCUAAGCGGGUAUAGUGUGAGUCGACUUCUGAUUCAGAAUUUCAGAUAGGACCCGAUGAUUGUUUGUUAUUCAGAGGUAGAGUUUGUGUACCAAAGAAUCUAGAACUCAUUUAGAAAAUUUUUCAUGAAGCUCAUAGUAGUAGCUUGUCUGUUCGUACAGGGAGUAAUAAAAUGUACAGUGGUUUGAGACAGAUGUACUGGUGGCCGGGAAUGAAACACGAGAUUUUUGAAUUUGUAUCUAGAUGUUUGAUAUGUCAGCAAGUUAAAGCUAAACGUCAAGUACCUUCAGGACUAUUACAGCCAGUGAUGAUAUCGGAGUGGAAUUGGGAUAGAGUUACUAUGGAUAUUGUAUCGGGGUUACCCCUAUCUCUGAAAAAGAAAGAUGUCAUUUGGGUUAUCGUCGAUCGUUUGAUGAAGUCCGCAAAUUUUAUUCCGGUACGUAUAGAUUUCUCACUUGAAAAAUUAGUUGAGUUAUAUGUUUAGGAGAUUUUCAAGUUGCACGAAGUGCCAGUCUCCAUUAUUUCGGAUACAGAUACGCGGUUCAUAUCGCGAUUCUAGAGAAAGUUACAGGAAGCUCUGGGUACGCGGUUGCAUUUUAGCACUGCAUUUUACCCUUAGACCGAUGGUCAGUCCGAGAGAGUGAUUCAAAUUCUCGAAGAUAUGCUUCGUUGUUGUGUUUUAGAGUUCGAAGGCAAUUGGGAAAAAUAUUUGUUGUUAGUCAAACUUGCGUAUAAUAACAGUUUUCAAUCUAGCAUAAAAAUGGCACUGUAUGAGGCUCUAUAUGCGGAUCUUAAACGUAAAGAUAUAGAGUUCCAAGUCGACGACAGAGUAUUUUUGAAAGUUUUGACCUAGAAAAAAAUUCUUCGAUUUGAUCGCAAAGGGAAGCUAAGUCCACGAUUUAUCGGGCCGUAUGAAAUUACUAAAAGAAUCAGACCUGUGGCAUACCGAUUAGCUUUACCGUUAGAGCUUGAAAGGAUUCAUAAUGUCUUUUACGUGUCUAUGUUACAACAGUACCGAUCUGACACUUCACAUGUUAUCUUUCCAACGGAUGUCGAGAUUCAGCCUGAUAUGACAUACAGUGAAGAACCAAUCAGAAUUCUGGCACAAGAAGUGAAAGAAUUGAGAAAUAAAAACAUAGCUUUAGUAAAAGUUUUCUGACUGUGACACAGAAUAAAAUAAGCUACCUGGGAACCAGAGGAAGCUAUGAGAAACCAAUAUCAGAAUAAAAGAAGCUACCUGGGAACCCGAGGAAGCUAUGAGAAAUCAAUAUCCGAACCUCUUUUCUGGUAAGAUUUUCGGGGAUGAAAAUUCCUUUUGGGGGGAGAGUUGUAACAGCCCGUUUUUAGCGAAAUUGAAACAGUGGUUUCAGGACCACAAAAUAGUCUAUAGCACAAUAGAAAUAUCAUAUAAAAAUUUUGUUUAGAAAUUUUACCGUUUACAUGUUCAAUUUGAUAAAAAUGACUAAAUUGUGUAAAGUGCAAAAGUUGAGUUCUAAUAGCUAAAGGUAUUAAAUAGCUGUAGAACAUUAAUGUGGAGGUCCUUAUAUGGUAAUUAGCCAAUUAGUAUGUUAGUAGAUGAUAAUGGCUUGGCAAUUUUGUAAUUUGAAUUAAUUUUAAAGGUUAAUUAAGUAAUUAAUUAAUAAAUGAUAAGUUAAAAUUAAAUUAAAUUUUCUAUCAUCUUUCUCAAUCUUCUUCCACCAGUUUUCAAGAGGAAAUGAAGCCAUUUUCAUCCUUAAAAAUUGGUCAUCUUUAAUCCUUCAAUUAGGUAUGCAUUUUUGUCCCGUUUUUAAAGAUUUCUAUGUUUUCGAGAUCAUUGUAGCUUAAUCUAGCUAGCCUGGGGACUAAUUUGUGAAACUGUUAAAGUAUUAGGGUUUUUCCAUUAAUGAGCAUGCUUGCGCUUUGAAGUUUAAUGAAAGAAAAUGAAUUGUUGUUGUUAGAUAAACAACUUUUGUAAAGGAAUCUUUCGUAAAAUUGUCAAAUAGGGAUUAAAUUGGAAAAUAGAGAAUAUUAUGUGGUAAAAUUGUGAAUUUAUGAAAUACAUGGGCUGCUAUUAAUAUGUAUAAAAAUCGGUUAGACUUGGGUAAGGAUUAAAUUGUAUAAAUUUUAUUUUUUGAGACUAGGGACUAAAUUGUAAAGUAAUUAAAAGUAUAGGGUUAAAAUGGUAAUUUUGCAAAAAUACAUGUUGGACUAUAUUUUAUGUGAAUUAGAUUGAAUUGGGUUAAAUUCAUUAAAAUGGUAAUUUUGCAAAAAUACAUGAUGGACUAAAUUCUAUGUGAAUUAGAUUGAAUUGGGUUAAAUUAAUUCGUAUAGAUCCUAUUAGACCUCGUACGGAGUUAGAUCAAGGUAAAGAGAAAAUAUUAGAUUAGUCGCCUCCAUAUCUACGUACACUCGUCGAGGUAAGUUGGUAUAAUUAAAUUGUACACUUAUAUAUUUUAAAUUGAAUGAUAUGUUUGUAAAUUGUGUAAUUGCCACGAAUGAAUACUGAUCACAUAUCCGACGACGUACAAUGACUACUGAGCCUCGUUUGAACCUUAAGAAUUCGUGGGAUACAAAUUACAUGUCAUUAGGGUUAUUGAUUUCAGCUCAUAUGAGCUUACCGAUACUCAGCUCGCAUGAGCUUAUUGUUAUUCAUCUCGGAAGUGCUUAUCAUUAUUCAACUUGGAGGAGCUUACCAUUUACAGCUAGUAAAAACAUACCGAUUCAAAGCUCGUAUAAGCAUAAUGUACAGGAAUUGACGGAUUACAGUGCAGUACACCUCGUGUGUACUACCCACGUAUCCAAUGAUAUUCUACAUGGUUCAACGGGCACAGUUAUGUUACGAUAUUAUAUGAGUUCGAUAUGAACUAUUACAGGAAUUUACAUGAAAUACAUGAAAGUGAUGUUACAUGAUACAUUGAUAUAUGAAAUGAAUAAUUCAUCUAUAUGAAAUGUGAUAACUUGUUGAAUUCAUCUAUGUGUAUUUGAUUUUAUAUAUGAUUUACAUGGUUAAUAUGUUGAUGAACAUGUGUUUAGGCUUUUGGCCAAAUUGGUUGGGAUAUGUUAUGUUAGCUUACCUUAAUUGUGAUUUAAAAUGGUUAGUUAAAUUCUAAGUUAUACGAACUUACUAAGCUUAAAUUUUUACUCUGUGUUAUUUUCUGUGUUUUAUAGUGAUUCGGAAGCUCGUUCAGAUUGGAAGCUUGUCGGAGCUAUAUCACACUAUCCAUUGGCUCUUUUGGUACUUUUAGUUGGUUACAUUUUGGUUGUAAUGGCACGUAUAGGUUAUUUUGGCUAAUGUUAGCCUAUGUGUGAUGUUGUGUAUGUGGUCAUAUGCUUUGGCUUGUGUUUUGGUAUAUUUUGCUAUGUGUAUAUAUAAAUGGCCUUAUCAUAUUUGGUGUGUGGCUUGAUUUGUAUAGAAUGAUGAAAGGUAAAUGUUAGCUAAAUGUACAUUUUGUACAUGUGUUUGUGAUGUGAAGAAUUAGUGAUGAAUUGGUACCUUGAUAUGUAAGAUAUAUAUAUGUCUAAAUAUGUUAGUAUUUGAAAUGCAUUUUGGUAUCAAAUGGUAUGUUUUGGUAGAUAAAUGAAUUGGUAUGAAAGGAUGCAAAUUAGCUUGGUAAAUUGAUGGUUUAUUUGGUUAAAUUAUAUAUAUGAAAAUACAUGUUUGAAUAUUAUCAUUUGAGGUACCUAAGGGCAUAUUGGUUGUAUGUGAAAUAUUACAUGUUUAAGACUUGAUUUUGGCUUGUUUUGGAUGUCUUGUUAUGGCUUGUUGAUGUGCAUAAUAUUAAGUUUUGGUUGGUGCCAAAUUAGGUGAGAAAUGUGGCUUGGAAAAUGACCUAUUUUUGUCCAUAUGGGCAGAGACACGGGCGUGAGUCUCAGCCGUGUGUGACACACGGCCGUGGGACCGUGUCUCUACCUUGUGUGACACACGGCUAGGUGACACAGCCGUGUGUCCCCUAUAGCUGCUUAAGGGUACAAGUCAGUAUGCUUACACGGCUUAGCACACGGGCAUGUGGCUUGGCCUUGUGACCCAAGUCAGUGAGUUACACAGGCACGGACACGAGGUGGGACACGGAUGUGGGUCCCUAUUUCGAAUGUCCACACGGCCUAAGACACGGGCGUGUCUCUUGGUCGUGUGAGUCAUACGGCUUGGCCACACGACCGUGUGACCCCUACAGCUUUGAAAAUUUUAAAUGUUUUCGAAAUAUUUUCUGAGUUUCGGAUUUAGUCCCGAUUUGUUUCUAAUGCGUAAUUUGAGCCUCGAGAGCUUGUAUAAGGGACAGUAUGUAUGAUUUCAAUUAGUUUCUGACAUAAAUAUUUUAUGAUAUGAAAUGUUUGAAAUUCUGUCUAUUUGAUCUGUAAACUCCGGUAAUACUCUGAAACCCUAUUUUGACGAUGGAUACAGGUUAGGGGUGUUACAUGCGUUAUAAACACAUCGUUGGUAAAAUAGGAUAUGCGACACUCAAUGCAAAAUUUGUAAGUAUUACAUGUUAAUCGACAUGUAACCUAUAUUAAUUUUUUUGCGCUCAUUUGUGAAUAUUGUUAAUAACUAUUUGUAACACCCCUAACCCCCAUCGUUGAGUUAGGGUCACGAGCAUUAGUAACCAAUCGAAACAUUUUAUUACAACAUAAGCCAAAGUGCAAGCCAACUAAUAACAUUCAUAUUACGCAGAGAGUAAUUCAUGCUAAUAUAAUAUUUCCGUAUUGUUAUCUUAUAGGAUCCAGUAAUGAGACAUACUAUGCAAUACUAAACUUGGUCUUGCACUAUCUAUACUCUUAUCACUAUUUAUCCUUUCUUGAAAGCUAGAAGUUGGAUACAUAACAAGACUAUUCCAAUUAUUAGCAUCAGAGUACUGAACCAUACUCCUACUACUACUACCUUCGGUGAUAUUAGUAGAAUGACCUACUUCACCUAGCUUAGGUUUGCUAAUUCAUUCAAAAUCGAAGUAAAAAUACUCUUACAAUCCUUAUCACGAGGCUACGGGACCCUAUACAUAGUUUAAAAACAAACAGGGACUAAUUUAAAGUAAAUAUGAAAGUUUAGGGAGAGAUCUCAAAAAUUUUAAAAAUAAGGGUCACACGGUCGUGUGAUACGCCCCAAACCAUGUGACUUUCGAAGUUGGGACACAAGGUCGUGUCCCAGCUCAUGUCUCUACCCGUGUAACUCAUUGAUUUAGGUCACACGGCCAAGUGCCAAACCAUGUGGCUCUUGACAUGGGCAUGUCACUAUCCUACACUCCAGUGUGUGUUUUCACACGCCCGUGUGCCUAGGCCGUGUACCUCUCGAAAUGAUUUCACAAAGCCAUGUCACAAGCCAUGUGUUAGCCUGUGUGGGAACUGCACCUAUACUGCUUUACAACACGUUCAGGGCAAAUGCCCGAGUGUGACACACGGUCAUGCGACAGACCGUGUCCCAGGCCAUGUGUACCUAAAUGUACCUUAAAACUCGAGUUUACCAAAAUGUGAUUACUUGGACACUAAGCAACCAAUUCACCAACCAUUUAACCAAUUCAAAAUACAAUUAAACAUGCUAAAAAUAUGCCAAAAUAUCCAUCUUAAGUGUCUAACCAAUAUACCCUCAUUGGUACCACAUUUUAUAUCUUCAAACAUAUUAACAAGCAUCAACUAUUCACAACUUUCAUUCAUACCAAAUUUUCCAUAAUUGAACUAACAUUUAGCUACUUAGGCUACCAAGCUUUAAGCUAAACACAUACCAAAACAUUAAGCUAAGUUAUCAUACCAAGCAUAGCCUCAACCACAACCAUAUAUACAAAUAACCAUUAUUUCACUAGAAAACCAAAAUAUCAUCACAUUAUAAACAACAUCAACCAAAAGACCUCCAAGGUACAUGCCAUUAAAAAAGAAAACAUCACCACACUUGAGUCUGAGUUCGUUGUUGGAUGUUGAGUCGGUGGUAAACUAAAAAGUACCUAACCUGUGCAGGAAAACAAAACCAUACACUGAGAUUAAAGUUGUGAGUUAAGGGUGACCUUUAUGUUUGUAGCGUGUCGAGAGAGUGUUAGGAUAUGAAAAUAGUGCUAACCCAUUUGUUAGCAACCAAUUAAGAUUAGAAUCGCUUAUCAUACACUACAUUCCAUUGGUCACUACUCUAUCAUCCAUUCAAAAGUACUUUGAGAUCUUAGCAAUAUUAUUCACUCAUUAGUUCAUCGGUUGCUCUAAUAGUUACACGAGUACUUCAUUGGUAAUUCCAAGAAUUAUUUAUAUGCAAGUGUCUAUUUAUUCAACUAUGAUUUAUAAUUUUUCAACUUUAUUUCCAUAGGAACAAUCCUCAAAGUGUUUACCUUUAUGAGUGUUAUGUUAAUUUUAUUACUAUUAUGAUUUUGUCAUGCUUACAAAUUGCUUUUGUUUUUAGUAGUGUACUAGAUGGGCCAUCAUUUACAUAGAAUCAAAAUAAAUCAGACACUUGUGCAUGUUUGUAAUUAUCAAUAUGCAAUCUCAUCAAUGUGUAAUGCACAUGAUCAAUUAAUUAAGUACAUUGAUUAUUUCAUUCUCCACUAAUCUGGUUCCGUUAUGCAUUUUAAAUCAUUUAAGUUUUUUCCGCUUAUAAUGUAAGGCUAAGGAAAAAGUAGGAUAAAAAGUUGUUUAGGCUCGAAUUCCGAGUAUUAGCCACUUAUAGAUCAAAUAAGAGCUAAUGAUAUUCUCCAUUUUCCCAAAUUGAGCACUCAAUUCAUUUUCAAUUCUACCUUUUUUUCACUCACCUUCUGGUCUAUCCAGUACUUAAUAUAAAAGCAUGAAUACAAAAUAAGUAUACAAGGACAAUAAACACUUCUCGUUUUAUUUUUCAAUACCUUUUUCUCCUUUUUCUUUUUUAUCAAAUAAAAUAACAACUACAAAUAAAAAAGAAACCAAAGAUAAAAUUCAUGCUUUACUUUCUCUCACUACAACGCCCACUUUAAUAUAUCUAUAUAAAAAUAAUUCCAAUAAACAUUAAAUACUUGAGAUAAAAAUAUAGGAGUCGAGAAAAGUUAAGUAUUAAGGGGAUGUUUGGUUGAAGGUAAUGGCUAUGCCAUUACAAGCUUAUUACAAGCCUAUUCUGCAGGCUCAUAUAAACAGAUGUUUAGUUGAAUGGAAUACCCUAUUACGAGUGUAUUCUAUUACGGGCUUAAGUAGAGAUAUUUGGGGAUUUCUAUUCCCUUCCCUCUUCACCGUUUACCCAUUCGUUGCUUGAAGAACCCUAAUUUACCCUCACCAAUUUCUCACCUCAAAAACACUCAAACGGUAGCCAUUUCUUGCUUCCUUCGACUCCGGCAUUCCACCCCUUAUCCAAGGUCAGGUAAACAUUUUUCCUUCUGUUGUUCCUUUCAUUUUCCUGUCUGUCUUUUUUUUCUUACCCAAGUUGUGUGCCGAGCUAAGUAACGAGAGCUUAUAACCCAAGUUGGGGGCAUUAAGGUGGCUUGGGACGAGAGAGAAUCGAACAAUCAGUCGGCUUGGGACUGGGUUGAGUGGGCCCUUGCUAGCUCAGUGUGUGAGAAGGAGGUGAAAUUUCAGACCUGGCCUGAAAUUGAAACACUCUGUAAGGAAGUUGAACCAUAAGACGUUACAGUAGUAGGCUAAUCCUUGGCUUAAGAAGCUAAAAGGAAAAAGCAAUGUUGGCUUGUUAGAGCAGCAAAUGACCCCAUGUCUAAGGUAGCAACAAGUAGGGGUGUGCAUAAUUCAGGUAAAACCGAAAAAAUUUGGUUAACUGACCGAAUUCAGUUAAUCAGCCGAUUAACUGAAUUUUUUCGAUCGGGGGUUGGUUAGUUUUUUUAUAAUUUUUCGGUUAACGGUUAAUUCGGUUUGAAAUCGGUCGGUUAACUGAAUUUUUCGGCUAACCGAAAAAACUAAUAAAUAAAAUUAUCCAACCCAACCCAAUUACCCAACCCAAUAAAACUAAAAUUAAAGUCUACCCAAUUACCCAACCCAAUAAAACUAAAACUAAAGUCUACCCAAUUACCAACCCAAUAAAAAUAAAACUAAAGUCUAACUCUAAGUAUCUACCCAAUUACACAUGUUUUUUUUUUAGGUUUAAUGCAAAUGGAGAUUUUUUGAAGAGAAGAAAUGGAUAUAAAUGGAAAAUAUUAAAGUCUGACAUUUCAAUUAUGUGUUAAUUUCAAGAAUGAUGUAAUGUUUUUAAUUAUAUAAUGAUUCAAAUACUUAUGUAAUGUUUUUAAUUAUGUAGUGAUUCAAUUCGGGUAAUUCAGUUAAUUCGAGUAAUUCAGUUAAUUCGGUUAAUUCAGUUAAUUCAGUUAAUUCAGUUAAUUUUUAACCAAAAAUAAAAACCAUACAAUUUUAGGUUAAUUUGGUUAACCGACCUAAUUAACCGAAAAAAUUUCGGUUUGGUUAAUGUUUUUUAAAAAAAUUCAGUUCGGUUAACAGUUAAAAAUUUUGAAAGGUCGGUUAAUUCGGUUAUAGCUAUUUUAGGUCGGUUAAUCGAAUGCACAACCCUAGCAACAAGAAGGGGAAAAAUAAAUUAAUUUCAAUAAAAUGGUGCUUUCGUGUGUUCAUGACAGACGAAAAGAUUAAUCAUCCUAUUCAAUUUUAGUAUAUGGUUCAUAUUUUGUUCUCAUAUUCAAUAAAACGGUGCUUCUAGUAUAGACCAACCUAGUUUCUUAUUUCAUUUUGCUCUAUAGGCCAUAUUGGAGAUGCUACUUUCCAAAUACUCUGACUAUAUAAUCUAUGUUGUUGAUUCAAGUGACACAGAUAGGUUGGUGAUAGCUAAAGAAGAAUUUCUUGCAAUCUUGGAGGUAAACCCAUCAAGAUGUAUUUUACUAGUUUUCAUCUUUCUUAAAAACUUCCUAAAACCUUGCUAUAGUAUAUCUUAUAAAUAUUCCAUGCAUUGAAGAUGAUAUAUAGAUUACUUUGCAGGCGGUAACAUUGAUCUCAUGGUCCACUGUAGUAACAUUUGUAUUUUAGAAGUUUGAUAAAAAGAAAGAAUGCUACAUGAAAACCUUCUUUCUGCUCCCUAGAAUGUGAUGAUGACUUGUUUAUAUGUCUGUAACCAACAAUGCUUACUUGGUGUUUACAAUAUCCUACUUCAUUUGUCAAUGCUUGUUUUAUGUAUUUCAUUAAUGCUUCUUCUGGAUGAGUUUCAAGUGUGAAUCUUUUACAGGAAGAGGAGCUGAGAGGAGCAGCAGUUCUUAUUUUUGCAAAUAAGCAUGUUCUUACAUUACCUUUUUCUUGUUCAAGUAUCGUGAAACUUUUUUCUUCAUCUUAUUUUAGCCAAUUGGCAUUGCGCAAGAGCUGAUCAUGUGCAUAUUCUUGGUUUAUACAGGAUCUUCUAGGUGCACUUGAUGAUGCUGCAGUUACAGAGUCUUUGGAGUUACACAAGAUAAAAAACCGACAAUGGGCUAUUUUUAAAACUUCAGCAAUAAAAGGGGAAAGUCUUCUUGAAGGCUUAGAUUGGUAAGUUUCAUGUCUUACAUGUAAUUCAUGUUAUCCUUGAAUAUACUUGGCAAAAUUGCCUUGCAGCCUAUGCUAUGAUGAGAUUCAUUGCAUGUAUUUAUAAGUAAGAACUUCAAAGUGAUUUAAGCCCAUUUUCUAUGCAUCUUUCAACAGUGGAAACUAGUUUUAAAGUAAAUCUAUCCACUCCUUAAACAAAUCAUCUUUUAAGUGGUAGAAGCUGAGUCAUUUGUUUAUGCACAUCGAGUCGUUCAUCAUCAAAGUAAGGGAUCUAUGAACCUAUUUGAUCAUCCUCUGUAACUCCGAAAGGAAAUUAGUUUAUUGGUCAUCAUUGUAGGUUGAAGGUAGCAACAAGAAGGGGGAAAAUAUCACUCAAGGGUGUGCUAAGGUAACAAUACCCUCUUAAUGUCUUUGCUAUAAGUUGGUUAUGUGUUCAACUUUGGAAAGAUGAAAUUUGUUAAUGGAAAGGAGGCUGCCAAGGUAAAGAGCAGCACACCCUCAUAGGCUGCCAAAUGACAAGAGUCAACAACAACAAAAAAAUGAACAAGGAAAAGGGACAUAAACAAAUAUCUCCACUGGAAUAAUGAUACCAUUACUCUUUUCUAGUAAUACGGGAAAGACGAUAUAUACAUGUUAAACUACAUUUACAAUUCAGAUUUGAUCUUUUUACUUUAAACAAGAACAUUUUGGUUAUAUUUAAUUUUUGAUAUGUUUUUAUUUUUGAUAUGUUUCAUUUAAAACUAUUUUAAUCUUCUAAUAUAUUAUUAAACUAUUUUUAUUUUCGAUAUCUUUAAUUUAUGUUAUAUUUAAUUUUGGUCUUCAAACAAUGUUUUAUAUUACUUAUAUUGUUUGAUUAAAAAUUAUAAUUAACACUACAAAAAUUAUCUCAACAAACGAAACAAAAAAAAAGUAAAAUGCUACAAACAAAUCAUGUUAUGGUAAGAAUGUAAUGUAUAUGGAGUUUUAGAUUUUAUUUAAAUAAAAAUAAUAAUCGAAUAUUUUAAAGUACAUAAUUUUUAAGAUAUUUAACACACUAUAUGCCUAUAAUCGAAUUGAGUUAAUACAAAAUAAAAGAAAUUAAGACCUUAUUUUCUUUUCUCAUAAAAAUUAUUAAAUUCAUAUUAUUUUUUUUCCUUUUACUAAUUUUAACUAUUCAAACAAAAUAAUAAAUAUUUUUCUAUUCACAAUUAUUAAUUCAAAUAAAACAUUAGCAGGAUAAUACUCAGAAUAAAUACAUAAUUAAUACAUAAAAAUACGUUAUUCUAGAGUGUUAUCAAAUCCCCCCUACUUAGCCCAUGCUUGCCCUCAAGUAUGGUUCUUAUCGACUGUGAAAGUUAGAUUCUACCAUAAAAGAAAUACAACUUUCAAAGUUUUAUAGAAAUCAGUCAAAAAUGCAUAUGAAAAAUAAAGAAAAACUUAAGCUUGCUUUAAGUAAAAUAGAAAAAGUUUUCCAAUUAAUACACACAAAAAUUAGAAUCGACUUGAAUUAUUUAAUGAAAAUUAGGUAAAUUACUAAACCUACCUAUACACCCUAUUUGUUUCCUCCUUUAGUCCCCAAAUUAUUAUUAUUUUUCUUUUUUUUCUUUUUUUUGCUUUAGGAAUAUACUGAACCUUUUGACGCGAAGAGAGAUGACAGCCAAGCACCCCACCCUGGUUACUCAGCCCAGCAGACUCCUAAUUUAUUAUAUUUUUUUCUUAAGAACAUAUCGAACCUUUUGACGGGAAGAGAGAUGACAGCCAAGCACCCCACCCCGGUUACUCAGCCCAAUAUGUUCUUAAAGAUUAAUUCCGGUUAGGGGAGUUUUAUCUAACACGUCACACAACCUUUUGACGCGAAAUAGGAUGACAACCCAAGCACCCUACCCCGGUUACUCAGUCAGUCACGUUUUUAAGCUGCACUCAUAACCACGGAAAUAUUAAAUGACAUUAAUAAUAAUAACUUUUUUUAUGAGGACUUUAGAGGAAAAUAAUAAUAAUCAAGUGUCGAAAAUAAGUUUCAGUAAUUACCUUAAUAGUCAUCAACAUAUUUUAGCAUGCAACAUAUUAAGUGUCCACUUUGUAUUUAAACUUGAUCAAUUUUACGAAAAGCAAGAUAAAGUUAAAUUUAUGAAUCACAAUUAUUUUUAGUCUAAUAAGAAUAAAACAGUGGAGAUGGCAUCAAUUAUGAAAAAAUUCGUAAUUUUCUCAGAAAAUAAGAAUCAUGCUUGUAGGUCAAACAGUAGGCAACUCUUGGUAAAAAUAUUGGGCAUGAAAAAAAGCAGGAGAUUCCAAAUAAAUAUGGACAUAAUAAAGCCUCAAGUAGCAACACCAGCCAAAAAUAAUCACAGCAACAGCAACACUAACCAAAAUCAUAGCAGAAAAUUAUAGUAAUAACGAAGAGUACCUCCCCCUACUGAAAGCACAUUGUCCUCAAUGUGGACGAAAAGAAAUAAAUAGGUAAAAAAGUUUAGAAAAACUCCCCGUGUGAUCACAAAUGAUGGCAAUUAGCUUGGUCAGUUGCUGGCCAAAGGUUUCAAGUCAAGCCUCAAUGCGCUUUAAGUGUUGCUUAACGGUUUGCUUCAUUUUUUUUAAGCAAAAGAAGAAAAAUUGAUUAAUAUCCAAAUAAGUAAUAAAUAAUAAAGAAAAUAAAGUAAAGAAAAAUAAUAAUAAAUAAUAAUAAAUAAAAAUAAAAAUUAGGUUGCCUCCCAACAAGCGCUUGUUUAACGUCGCUAGCUCAACGCCGUUAUUGGUUCUAUGGUGAUUCCAAAUGAAUUUCCUCAACCGUGUGGGCUUGAAAAUUCUCAUAAAAUGGCUUCAAUCGCUGGCCAUUGACUACGAACUGCUUUCCAGAUUCCUCACUCUCUAUUUCAACCGCUCCAUGUGUGAACACUUUAGUAACAAUGAAUGGUCCUUGCCAUCGUGAUCGAAGCUUACCUGGGAAUAACUUUAACACGGAGUUAUAAAGUAAAACUUUUUGUCCUACCGAAAAAUGCUUCUGAGCAAUUCUCUUAUCGUGAAACAACUUUGUCUUGUCUUUAUAAAUGUGAGCAUUUUCGUAGGCCUCAUUACGAAUUUCUUCUAAUUCUUGGAUGUCUAAUUUCCUUGCCUUUCCUGCAGGUUCUAACUCCAUGUUACACUGUCGAAUGGCCCAAUAAGCUUUAUGUUCCAAUUCGACUGGAAGGUGGCUGGCUUUACCAAAAACAAGUCGAUACAGGGUCAUACCAAUCGGUCCUUUAUACGCAGUCCUAUAGGCCCAAAGUGCAUCAUUUAGCCGAAGGCUCCAAUCCUUUCGGUUAGGACGAACUGUUUUCUCCAAAAUAGUCUUGAUUUCCCUGUUUGAGACCUCGGCUUGACCGUUCGUUUGGGGAUGGUAAGCCAUAGCUAUACGGUGGUGGACUCCAUAUUUUGCCAACAAUGCCUCCAUGACCUUAUUACAAAAGUGGGUGCCACGAUCACUGAUUAGGGCUCGAGGUGUGCCAAACCUGGAAAAAAUAGUUUGUUUUAAAAACUCCAUAGCAGUUUUGGCAUUAUCAUUAUGAGUAGGCUUUGCUUCUAUCCACUUAGAAACAUAGUCUACUGCAAGAAUUAUGUAUACAUUGCUAAAUGAAGAAAUAAAUGGGCCCAUGAAAUCGAUACCCCAUACAUCAAAGAUUUCGCAUACAUGAAUCAGGGAAAAGGGCAUUUGAUUUCGUUUAGUGAUGUUACCUGCAUGUUGGCACCUAUCGCAAGACUUACAGAAGUUAUAUGCGUCUCGAAAAAUUGUGGGCCAAUAUAGCCCACAUUCUAACACCUUAUGAGUGGUCCGCUUAGGGCCAAAGUGACCUCCGCAAGCUUCAGCAUGACAAAAAUUAAGGAUAGAAGUUACCUCAGUUUCUGGAACACAUCUUCGUAUUAUCUGGUUUGAACAGUGUUUCCACAAAUAUGGGUCAUCCCAAAUGUAAUAUCGAGCGUUGCGUCUGAGCUUGUCCCUCACGGAACGUGCUAACUCAGUGGGUAAUGAUCCUGUGGCUAGAAAGUUUACUAUAUCUGUAUACCAUGGGAGACGUACCUCGAUCGAGAAUAGGCUCUCAUCAGGGAAUUCUUCCUUAAUAGGGAUGUCGUCAAAAGGUACUUUUAUUCUGCUUAAGUGGUCAGCCACUAAAUUCUCGCAUCCUCUUUUGUCUCGAAUCUCAAUGUCAAAUUCUUGGAGCAGCAAAAUCCACCUAAUGAGCCUCGGUUUUGCUUCUUUCUUCGCGAUCAAAUACCUGAGAGCUGCAUGAUCAGAAAAAAUAAUCACUUUAGUUCCCAAUAAAUAAGGUCGAAAUUUAUCUAAAGCAAAUACAACGGCUAAGAGUUCUUUUUCCGUAGUGGUGUAGUUGCUCUGUGCAGCAUCUAGGGUUUUCGAGGCAUAACAUAUGACAUGUGGUUCUUUGUCUAUCCUUUGCCCCAACACGGCUCUUACAUUGCGCUCGUUGGCGUCGCACAUAAUUUCAAAUGGGUAUUUCCAAUCUGGUGUUGUACUAUAGGAGCGGAGACUAACUUUUGUUUGAGUGUAUCAAAUGCCUCCUUACAUUUUGGGCCAAACUCAAAUUUCUUAUCCUUCUGCAAAAACUCACACAGUGGUUCAGCUACCUUCGAGAAGUUUUUUAUGAAGCGCCUGUAAAACCCUGCAUGGCCAAGAAAAGAACGAAUUUCCCUCACAGUGGAGGGAUAAUGCAAAGAAUUUAUAAUAUCAAUUUUGGCCUUAUCGACCUCAAUUCCUUUAGAUGAAACAACAUGACCUAGAAUUAAACCCUUGUCUAUCAUAAAAUGACACUUUUCAUAAUUCAAGACAAGAUUAAAUUCUAUGCACCUACUCAAAAUUAUCGUUAGGUUUUUAAGGCAUUCAUCAAAACAACUCCCAUAUACAGUAAAAUCAUCCAUAAAAACUUCGAUAAUUUUUUCCAUAUAUUCAGAAAAUAGACUCAUCAUACAUCUUUGGAAGGUGGCUGGCACAUUGCAAAGACCAAAUGGUAUCCUUCUAUAUGCAAAUGUACCGAAUGGACAUGUAAAAGUGGUCUUUUCUUGGUCCUCCGGUGCGACUGGAAUUUGAAAGAAACCUGAGUAUCCAUCAAGACAACAAAAAUGAGUUUUUCUGGCUAAUCUUUCAAGCAUUUGAUCUAUAAAAGGAAGAGGGAAAUGAUCUUUUCUAGUGUAAGAAUUCAACUUCCUGUAAUCAAUGCAGACGCGCCACCCAUUUUGUACUCGGGUAGGUACCAAGUCACCUUCAGCAUUUUUCUUUAUUGUCACACCUGUUUUCUUGGGCACGACCUGAACCAGACUUACCCACCUACUGUCAGAAAUAGGGUAAAUUACGUCAGGGUCUAAAAGCUUAAUUAUUUCCUUUUUUACUACUUCCAUCAUAUUCGGAUUUAGCCGUCUUUGCGCCUCUCGCCUCGGCUUCAUGUCUUCCUCCAAGUAGAUCCUGUGUGUGCAUGUCAAAGGGCUUAUCCCUUUUAAGUCUGCAAUGGUCCAGCCAAUCGUCUCCUUAUGACUUUGUAGUAUAUGAACCAAACUUUCCUCUUCAUGUGUGGAGAGUCUAUUGGAGAUUAUGACUGGUAGGGUAUUACCCUUCCCCAAAAAUGCAUAUUUCAGAUGCUCAGGAAGUGGUUUCAACUCCAACUCUGGUGCCUGUAUAACAGAAGGUAACAGUUUAGUAUUUGGAGAUAAUAACUCAUUAACAAAUUCAAUUUCAUCAAGUUCAGACUCAUCUCCAUAAAUUGACUCAUAAUUUUCUUCUACCAAAGAGUCAAUUAUGUCGAUACGGUUUACACUCAAGGUUUCGCUUGGAUGGCUAAUGGCGUCGUAGACAUUAAAUUUUACAAUCUCCCCAUCAAACUCCAUCGUAAGAGUUCCACUUUGAACAUUAAUUUUAGUACUAGCUGUACUAAGGAACGGUCGACCCAACAGGAGAUCUGAAGAUCCAGGAGUGAUAUCCUUCUCCAUUUUGAUCACAUAAAAAUCUGCAGGGAAAAUAAGCUCGUUAAUUUUUACCAGAACAUCCUCGAGGACUCCUUCUGGGUGCACAACAAACCUGUCCGCCAAUUGAAUGAUAACACCUGUUUUUGUUAAAAAAACCCGCAUUAAGUGAUUCAUAAAUAGAAUAUGGCAUUACAUUUAUAGAAGCCCCUAGAUCACACAUAGCCUUCUUAAUUUCCAGAUGGCCUAUUUUGCAUGGUAUUGCAAACAUGCCCCUAUCUUUGCAUUUUGCUGGCAUUUUUCAUUGUAACACUACGGAUACAUUCUCACCAACAUUCACCCUUUCAUUACCUGUCAAUUUUCGCUUGUUAGUGCAAAGCUCUUUAAGAAAUUUAGCAUACCGUGGUAUUUGCUUGAUGGCGUCCAACAGCGGAAUAUUGAUCUCGACAUUCCUAAAUGUUUCAAGAAUUUUCUUGUCCUCUUUACCUCUUCGACACUGGUUGAAUCGUUCUGGAAAUGGAGGUUGAGUUUUAGGCAAUGGAGGCUUCGGUCGGACCUGUUCAUCUUUCUCGGGUUUUUCCUGGGCGAUUUCUUGGGCAAGAUUCCUAUCAGGAAUCGAUUCCAGUACCUUUCCACUUCGCAACAUCACUGCAUUUGCAUUUUGUCUAGGGUUUGGUUCUGUUUGUGACGGCAGCUUCCCUUGAGAGGUCAAUUUCUCGAUCGAUGUGGUCAACUCUCUUAUGGACACCUCGGUUUUCUGUUGGAAAUCUUUCGUCUCUUUUUGGAAAUUAAGAGUUUGCUGUUGAAAAUCAAGAAAAUUAGCUGCUAACUUAUUGACCAUGGUUUCUAGAAAAUUACCUGAACCUUGUGGUUGUUGCGGAAACCGAUUUUGGUAUGGCUGGUUAUUUCGUGGAUUGGCCCCAUAGCUUAAGUUAGGAUGGUCCCUCCAUCCUGGGUUGUAGGUAUUAGCGUAGGGGUCGUACUGCCUUUGUGGUGGCCCAGGAAAAUUUCCAACAGCAUCCAGAUGGGCCGUGGUAUCAUCAUACAAACUGGGACAUGCAUCAGUUUCGUGAUCAGGUGUAGCACAUAUUCCGCAUAAUCGAGCUGUCUUCGUUUUUUCUGCAAUAAGAGAAUUCAUCAUAUUAGUAAGUUUAUCAACUUUAUCCUCUAAGGUUGAAUUACUUAGCUGGUGAACCCUUCUAGGGAGUUCAGUAUUGGCUCGGAACUGCUGAGAAUUUGCAGCCAUCGUGGAGAUCAAGUCUCUCGCUUGUUGGGGAGUCAUGUUGACCAAUGCUCCUCCACUAGCAGCGUCUACCAUAUUCAUCUCCAUGGGCUUCAAACCUUCGUAAAAGUAUUGGAGGAGAGAUUGCUCUGUUAUACCAUGUUGUGGACAGCUUGCACACAACUUUUUAAAUCGCUCCCAAUAAUCGUAAAGGGACUCAACUUCUUUUUGUCUUAUUCUAACGAUCUCUCUUCUUAGCUCAGCUGCCCGAGAUGCUGGAAAUAACCUAUUCAGAAACAAACGAGAUAGAUCAGCCCAAGUUGUAAUAGAUCCAGGGGGUAAAUAAAAUAACCAUUCCUUAGCAGAAUCUGCUAGGGAGAAAGGGAAAGCACACAAUUUAAUCUGAUCCUCAGUUACCCCCUGAGGUUUCAUGCUAAGACAAACCAUAUGAAAUUCUUUCAGAUGCUUGUGGGGAUUUUCAUUUUGCAACCCACGAUAAGUUGGCAGUAAUUGGAUUAAACCUGACUUCAACUCAAAAUCAGUAUCAAUAGUAGGAAACACGAUGCACAAUGGCGGUUGUUCUGUCGGAGCUUCGGCCAGUUGCUGAAUCGUUUGAGCCAUUGGUUGGUGUGUUAGAUUUGGGUUUUCGUUAACCCUAGUGUUAAGCACUUCUUCUGGUGAGUCGACUUCUACUUUUUCGCUUUCAAGUGUUCGAGUAGGGUUUUCGUUAACCUUAGACUCAGCUUCGUCGCCGACUUCGAUUUCUGGCAGCGAGUUACUUUGAGUUCCAACCACCGCUGACUGCUUUUUCCGUAACUUUGUCUCUUUGCGGUUGGCUCUAGCAGUCUUUUCAAUUUCUGAGUCGAACGCAAGAGUACCUGGAGCAGAUCUGGUCAUAAGAAACAAAAAAAAGCAAGAUUAGUACGUUACCAGUCCCCGGCAACGGCGCCAAAAUUUGAUGCGGUCGUUGAAAGCACCAAAAAUAUCCUAUCCCUAAUAAAUAAUGAAAAAGAAUAGUAAAAGGGAAGUAGGGUCAAAUCCUCAGGGACUGGACUUGCAAAAUAUCUUGUUCCGUGAAAUCUCAGGCAGAGUCUUGCCCAAGACAAUUUGCGUGCCUGAAAAAAAUAAAAUAAAAAAAUAACAUAAUUAAAUGUUUGGAUUUGAAAACGAAAAAAUAAAAUAAAAAUAGAAUUAAGAUUAUUGAAUUUAAAAUUAGAGAAAUUAAAAAUAGAGUUAAGAGAAAGAAAAUUCUUAUGGGAGAUUCCAGCAUUCAGUUGUCUCGUUCCGCCUUGGGUUCAAUCCUCGGCUUUUAGAUGAUCCUUCCCAAAACCGAAUAAGCCAGUUAUAGUGGAAGAGGACGCCUACAACCACCAGCUCCAAUGAUUUAGACUUACAAUUUAGUGGAACCUGACUCUAGCCAACAAUCGCUUCUGUGGGAUCGUCUUAUGCUAGAUCAACGCUUCUCAAUGGCGAAUCCCACGCCAUUUUGUCUCUUGGGCUCGCCAACCUCUGAUGCAGUAAGCUAACGAACCGACUGUGUAACCUUCCCAAAACAUACAAAGCGGUCGUCUUUGCAUACAUUGAAAAACUUACUUCUUAAGGGACUUGGACGGAAGCGUCAGCCCCGUAGUGUGGAGAAACGAUGAAUACUCAGCGAGGAGGCUAAGUACGGAUUCUAAGCCUCAUGAACCCUUUUGGGGAUUUUUGACAACUUUCGGCUAGAUGAGUUUAGUGGCUCAUGAUUGUGGUAGAAAAGAAAAUAAAUAAAUAAAAAUAAAUAUUUUAUUAAAAAGAAAUAUGAGAAGAACAAAAGCCUAAACUUUUGAGGAGAGAGUGUUUUCAGAAAAAGAUGGAUGGGAUCCCCUUUUGAGUCACUUCACCCCCUAUUUAUAGUGCUAGGGGAGAUAUUCUAAUCCUACUUAAAUUCCUAAAAGAUAAAUACAUUUAAUUGAAGAUAAAUAAAGAUAAAAUAAAAUCCUAAAAAUAAUCCUUAAUAAUUAUCUCAAUAUUUAUCCUAAUAUAAUUAAAAUAGAGUUUAAUAGAAUAAAAUCUCUUCUUUUUGCAUUUCAACCCUUGUGUCCUCCAUGCUUGCACUUUUGGCACCAACUUUUCCUUGUGCCGCACAUUGGCCCAUUUUAUCUCUAAAUUCACGCUUUUGGCCCUUAAUUUCACUUUGGCCUCAAAUUUAGUCCCUAUGAGAUAAAAGAUCAUAAAUAGCUCAAAUUAGCAGGAUAAUACUCAGAAUAAAUACAUAAUUAAUACAUAAAAAUACGUUAUUCUAGAGUGUUAUCAUUAAUUACAAUGUGAGGAUGAAUACAAACUUUUUAAAAGGUAAAUUAAAGAUCGAAUAUUUUAAAAAAUUUCAUAUAAUAUAUGUAUAUUUCUGUAGAACUGGAAACUAUGUUAUUUGGAUGUGGAUGUAUUAAAUGGGUUUUUUUAAAUAAUUAUUAAAUGUCAGUCAUCAAUUAAUCAAAUCCACAAAAACACAUUCUUUUCUUUUCUUUCUUUUUUUUUCUUUUUUGAGUGAUUGAUAAAGAAAUGAAUUUCAAGUUUUUUACUUGCAAAGAUAGUUGUAAUUUCUACUUUGUGCUUUGUAAAUAUUCUUAAUAUGUAUUGUUCAUUUUUCUUUGAUAGUGUGUUAUUGCUUCCUCUUCUUCUUUGGCUUGUUUGAUUGUUUCCUCCACCCACAGUUGAGCGUCUUGUAUUCACUGAAUCACUAUAAGUUCUUUGGAAAUUAAAUUCUUUGAUUUUAUUUUACUGUUAUUGAAAUUAGUAUUGGAGAAAUGUGACCCUUUUACUACGAUUUGAAGAUAUGUAACACUUUAAUAUCUUGCAAUAAUGGCUCGUCUGCCUUUAAUAGUACAAAGUGUGAGGCGUAAAAGAAUUGGUCUUGCAUUGACAAUAUGGUUGCAAAUGUGUACAGUUGUGAGUUGGUUCUUAGUUACAUUGGGUGCCAUCCAUAGCCUACAUACUUAUAGACCAAUGAUUAGAUUCUAUAUAUUAGAUUUUUAAGCAAAACGAGAUUAUGUGAAAAGACUUGUAUAUGCUAGUGACGAGACCUAUAUUUAACAAGUUAGGAUGAAUAGAAUUACCUUUUUUAAACUAUGUGAGAUGUUACAAACUUUAGGGGAAUUGAAGUCGUCAAGGAACAUGCUUGUUGAUGAGCAAGUGGCAAUGUUUUUACAUAUCAUUUCUCAUCACCUUAAAAAUCGAGCUAUCAAGCAUCACUUUAAUAGGCCCGGGGAAACUGUUAGCUGAUCAUUUCACAAUGGUUUAAAUGUUGACAUACGCUUACAAGAUGUGUUAUUUAAAACGGCAGAGCCAAUUACAGCUAAUUCUACAGACCCAAGGUGGAAAUGGUUCAAGGUAUUGGAGUGAGUUCUGUAUAUAGCUUAUACAUAAUUUAGUUGAUUUAGAUUUAAAUAUAGUAUUCUAACUCAAGGUUUUAUACAUGUGAUGUAGAAUUGCUUAGGUGCUUUAGAUGGAACCCACAUCAAGAUUAGGGUUCCAACAGUUGAUAAACCUAGAUAUCGAACACGAAAAGGUGACAUAGCAACAAAUAUGUUAGGUGUUUGUACACCUAGUAUGCAUUUUGUUUAUGUUCUUCCUGGUUGGGAAGGUUCUGUUGCUAAUGAACGGGUUCUUUGAGAUGCUAUUAGUCGGAGACAUGGACUAAAAGUUCCUCAUAGUAAAGCUCAAAAUUAGAGGACUUUGAAUUAAUCAUUAAAAUCAUACUUUUUUAGGAAAUUAACCAUGACAAAUAGUUUUUUUAUAGGUUGUUAUUAUCUAGAUGAUGCUAGAUACACAAAUUAUGAGGGAUUUCUUGCACCUUUUAGAGGACAAAUAUAUCAUUUGAAUGAGUGGCGUCAGGGUUACCAGCCAAGUACUCCGGAAGAAUUUUUCAAUAUGAAACAUGCUUCAGCACGUAAUGUUAUUGAAAGAUGCUUUGGGUUAUUAAAACUUAGAUGGGGAAUACUUAGGAGUCCAUCAUUCUAUC